GGCAGUGAAAGUUCAGAGUCAUCUGCAACAAAGAGUCAAGGAAAAGUUUGGCUUCGUUUCCGACUUAUGUUGAAGUUCCUGGACCUUGCGACCCUGAAGACCUUAUUGAUGGCAUCAUCUUUGCCGCCAACUACCUUGGUUCAACGCAGCUGCUGUCAGACAAAAAUCCUUCCAAGAAUGUUCGAAUGAUGCAGGCUCAGGAAGCCGUCAGCAGAAUC
Long non-coding RNA from Polypterus senegalus (gray bichir), 218 nucleotides. RefSeq lists it as uncharacterized. The transcript has 3 exons. The record is from RefSeq and is a predicted model, not a curated record. NCBI's taxonomy places the organism in Eukaryota, Metazoa, Chordata, Cladistia, Polypteriformes, Polypteridae.